This 497-nucleotide ribosomal RNA is filed under the name uncultured bacterium. RNAcentral describes it as "partial 16S ribosomal RNA". It matches the Rfam family "Bacterial small subunit ribosomal RNA", at positions 28 to 507 of the family's 1533-position model. The record is from RNAcentral.
GACGAACGCUGGCGGCGUGCCUAAUACAUGCAAGUAGAACGCUGAAGAGAGGAGCUUGCUCUUCUUGGAUGAGUUGAGAACGGGUGAGUAACGCGUAGGUAACCUGCCUUGUAGCGGGGGAUAACUAUUGGAAACGAUAGCUAAUACCGCAUAACAAUAGGUGACACAUGUGGUUUAUUAGAAAGGGGCAAUUGCUCCACUACAAGAUGGACCUGCGUUGUAUUAGCUAGUAGGUGAGGUAACGGCUCACCUAGGCGACGAUACAUAGCCGACCUGAGAGGGUGAUCGGCCACACUGGGACUGAGACACGGCCCAGACUCCUACGGGAGGCGGCAGUAGGGAAUCUUCGGCAAUGGGGGCAGACCUGACCGAGCAACGCCGCGGGAGUGAAGAAGGUUUUCGGAUCGUAAAGCUCUGUUGUAAGUCAAGAACGAGUGUGAGAGUGGAAAGUUCACACUGUGACGGUAGCUUACCAGAAAGGGACGGCUAACUACGUG